GAAAGAAACAGCCCCAUUUUGCAAAUGAGAUCAGCAGAAAUAUCAGUAAAGAGAAUAUAUUCUGCUAGUUUGCUGUGACAAUACUACUGCUCUACACUGCCAUACAUACAUGUAUUUAUUUCUUGAAUGUGUACAUGUUAUCUUUUUAGAGCAGUAGAACUAUGUUGACAUAAGAUGGGCGUGGAAGAGAAAUGAAGCUUUUGUGAUAACCAAAUCUGUAUAAACAGAUGUUAAUUGACUGAGUCUCACAAACAGACCAAUACUAGCUAAUGCCAAAGUGCCAAAUAGGAAAAGGCAAGAACUUCUUUUGGGCUCCCACUCUCGAGUUUCAUUGAGUGGUCACUUCAAUUUUAGUUGGGAUUUAAUCACCGCUACUGAUGUAAUAGUUCAGAAUGUAUGAUUUUUAAAAGAAGAUGGAUCUUCGAAAGAAUUUAAUUGCCUCCUGGUCAUGUUGGAGAGCCUUAGACCAUUGGUGAGACAUCACAGUGAAUAUGCUGUUGAAUUCAGGUCUGAAGGAGAAAAUUGCUGUACUUGAAAAUACACGUUUCCUUACAACCCAGCUGAGACUCUUAUUGAGUUUUAUCUCAUGC
RNAcentral lists this long non-coding RNA (590 nucleotides) under Gallus gallus (chicken). The record is from RNAcentral. Lineage: Eukaryota; Metazoa; Chordata; Aves; Galliformes; Phasianidae.